Molecule: small nucleolar RNA, 138 nt
Organism: Ornithorhynchus anatinus (platypus)
Lineage: Eukaryota; Metazoa; Chordata; Mammalia; Monotremata; Ornithorhynchidae
Source: RefSeq, a predicted model, not a curated record
CCCCUCUCAGGGUCGCAGCUGGAGAAUUUCCAGUAGUCUACUACUCUCAACCACAGGAGGGAGAGUCAAGCAGAAUCAUAUCCAUUCCAUUUCUAGCUUGGGCAGUGGCUAGUGAGUGGAAGGCAAUCUGCUACAAGU